GAUGAAGAACGUAGCGAAAUGCGAUAAGUAGUGUGAAUUGCAGAAUUCAGUGAAUCAUUGAAUCUUUGAACGCACAUUGCGCCCCUUGGUAUCCCGAGGGGCAUGCCUGUUCGAGCGUCAUUUCACCACUCAAGCCUGGCUUGGUGUUGGGCGACGUCCCCUUUGGGGACGCGCCUCGAAACGCUCGGCGGCGUGGCACCGGCUUUAAGCGUAGCAGAAUCUUUCGCUUUGGAAGUCGGGGCCCCGUCUGCCGGAAGACCUACUCGCAAGGUUGACCUCGGAUCAGGCAGGGAUACCCGCUGAACUUAAGCAUAUCAAUAAGCGGAGGA
RNAcentral lists this unclassified non-coding RNA (329 nucleotides) under soil metagenome. RNAcentral's name for it is "partial contains 5.8S ribosomal RNA, internal transcribed spacer 2, and large subunit ribosomal RNA". The stretch from base 1 to 120 matches the Rfam family "5.8S ribosomal RNA", at positions 35 to 154 of the family's 154-position model. The record is from RNAcentral.